GGGGAUAUGGCGAAAUUGGUAGACGCUACGGACUU
This 35-nucleotide transfer RNA is filed under the name Lupinus angustifolius (narrow-leaved blue lupine). Its description in RNAcentral is "partial tRNA-Leu". Lineage: Eukaryota; Viridiplantae; Streptophyta; Magnoliopsida; Fabales; Fabaceae. The record is from RNAcentral. RNAcentral also lists the same sequence under 61 other names.